Non-coding RNA from Chloropicon primus, 73 nucleotides. Lineage: Eukaryota; Viridiplantae; Chlorophyta; Chloropicophyceae; Chloropicales; Chloropicaceae. The record is from the annotation of a GenBank genome assembly.
GCGCUAUUAGCUCAGUAGAAAGAGUAUCUGUUUCCGGCGCAGGUGGUCGCGGGUGCAAAUCCCGUAUAGCGCU